CCCUUAGAUGUCCUGGGCCGCACGCGCGCUACACUGAACGGAUCAGCGCGUUUUCCCUUCCCGAGAGGGACGGGUAACCUGCUGAACCCCGUUCGUGGUAGGGAUCGGGGCUUGCAAUUAUUCCCCGUGAACCAGGAAUGCCCAGUAAGUGCAAGUCAUAAGCUUGCGUUGAUUACGUCCCUGCCCUUUGUACACACCGCCCGUCGCUACUACCGAUUGAACGUUUUAGUGGGGUACUCGGACUGAGCCUCAGAAGAUUCACGUCUUUUGUGCUGCUCGGGAAGAUUCCCAAACUUGAGCGUUUAGAGGAAGUAAAAGUCGUAACA
This 326-nucleotide ribosomal RNA is filed under the name uncultured eukaryote. Its description in RNAcentral is "partial 18S ribosomal RNA". It matches the Rfam family "Eukaryotic small subunit ribosomal RNA", at positions 1470 to 1796 of the family's 1831-position model. The record is from RNAcentral.